CCUACGGGGGGCAGCAGUGGGGAAUAUUGCGCAAUGGGCGAAAGCCUGACGCAGCGACGCCGCGUGAGGGAUGGAGGUCUUCGGAUCGUAAACCUCUGUCAGCAGGGAAGAACGGUCACUGUGCUAAUCAGCAGUGAAUUGACGGUACCUGCAAAGGAAGCACCGGCUAACUCCGUGCCAGCAGCCGCGGUAAUACGGAGGGUGCGAGCGUUAAUCGGAAUUACUGGGCGUAAAGCGCUCGUAGGCGGUAUGUCAAGUCAAGGGUGAAAUCCCCGCGCUCAACGUGGGAACUGCCUUUGAAGCUGGCAAACUGGAGUGUGUGAGAGGAUAGUGGAAUUCCAGGUGUAGGAGUGAAAGCCGUAGAUAUCUGGAGGAACAUCAGUGGCGAAGGCGACUAUCUGGCACAUAACUGACGCUGAGGAGCGAAAGCGUGGGUAGCAAACAGGAUUAGAUACCCCAGUAGUC
This 465-nucleotide ribosomal RNA is filed under the name uncultured bacterium. RNAcentral's name for it is "partial 16S ribosomal RNA". It matches the Rfam family "Bacterial small subunit ribosomal RNA", at positions 338 to 795 of the family's 1533-position model. The record is from RNAcentral.